UUCUCUUUUUCUUCCUCCAAUCAAUUUCAAUCCCCAAGAACAAAUACGAAAUUAGUUGUUUUCUAGCAAUUCCGUUACAAUGGACGAAGGUGAAUCCAGUAAUCUAAAUAGAAUAACCAUUUAACAAGAACAUCAUUCCAAUAAUCAAUCUCGACAAAUUCAUCGUCAAGAUUCUAGAGUGGAUGCUGGAGGAAAUCAAGAACAACAACACUAUUAUAUUGUUCAAGCUAUUCAAAUCCAGUUCUUAUGAACUAAACGGCUGUUGUUGGUGUAUCAUACGGGCAACACGAAAGAGGGGGGAGACAAUCACCUAUCUCUUUAUGUAAAAAAGGUUCGAAAGAUUAAUCCAAUUGGAAAUAGUAAUUGCAAUAACCUCGAUGUGGCGCUUAGAUUUUUCAUAUAUCGGCGGAAUUUCUUACUCUCUUAGACGUAAGAGAAACCAAAUUUGACUAUACGAAGAAAAGUGCGGGAAUUUCAAAAGUUCUUCCGAUCCUCUAGAUGAUUUUCGUGAUCUCGUUAAUGGGUUUCUACUUUCUAGUCAACGACUGCUGUAAAUUUGGAGUAAAUAUAUAUGCGCAAUCAUAUGUACGACAAACCCCUCGUUGGAGAAUUGGAAAUCGAGCUCUUGAUGAAAAUGGCGAAUUUGUUCGAUUUGUGCGAUCACAACCGUCUGAAAGCUGCAGUGUGACAGUUGAAUCGUACAAUGCGCUUGUACAACAUCUACACACCCAACAUUGCGAUCAUAUUGAGUUGAGACAAUUUGAGUCAGGAGGCUAAGGGGGAGCUGGCCACAUCUCUCUUUAUGUAAAAAUGAUUGAACCAAGCAACCCUGAAAACAUUGGUGACAUUGAUGUUUUACUUCGAUUUUUCAUUCAUGUUCAGAAAAGGCACACUUAUCUUAGCAUACAAGGUCUGUAAGUAAUUAUGAUUUUAUCUAAAUUAAUGCAUAAUUGAUCUUAACUUAGGUUACUUUAGCUUCUACUCAUUACUUUAGCACACUUUAGCUUCUAGCAGAUAUCCUGGGAGUUUCUGCCAAAUUAGUCGGAUACACCAGUCCUGAAGUUGCAGAUGUUUCAGGAGACGGAACAACAAAACUCAACUGCCACAUUGAAGUCGAUUCCCUCUCUAAUGGAGUAGCUCCAGAAGAAUCCCAAGAACCAAGUAAAGAAGCAGAACCAAAAAAUGUGAGGAAGAAGGUCAACGUUGAGAAUGUAAUUCUCCAUUUGAAGAGGAACAUGCAUAGAGCUGUCCACCAGCUUCACAUUCACCUCUCUCCUCGCCACCGCCAUGGGAGAUGCUAUCGGAGUCGGGUUUGGGAGAGAGAAAUUCUCCUUUUCUUAGUGUUUAAUUGAAGAAGAUAGAAAUGGGUAAUCAAGAAAAUGAUAAUGGGUACCCAAAAUUCACCAACAUUUAUCAACCCAUUAAACAGGGAAUUACUCAAAUAUUGUGAACGUUUAUUCAAUUCGCAAUUAAAGAAAGUAAUCAAGGAGAUCAAGAAAUCAAACUGAAUCUACUAGAAGAAAUCGCAAGAACGCUCCAAACUCACUUGAACAGUGCCCGCCAUUAAUUUGAGCUUCGAAUUGAAAAGCAGCAAGACAACUUAAACUACCGCAGAAAACGCCGACGAAGAAGAUGACGAGGAAGUAGAAAACAAAACAUGCAUAAAGAAUCUAUCACCA
Molecule: long non-coding RNA, 1679 nt
Organism: Spinacia oleracea (spinach)
Lineage: Eukaryota; Viridiplantae; Streptophyta; Magnoliopsida; Caryophyllales; Amaranthaceae
Exons: 4
Source: RefSeq, a predicted model, not a curated record